Molecule: non-coding RNA, 63 nt
Filed under: Chloropicon laureae
Lineage: Eukaryota; Viridiplantae; Chlorophyta; Chloropicophyceae; Chloropicales; Chloropicaceae
Source: RNAcentral
GAAGAGAAAUAGAAAAAAAGUUGUUGUUUUUUUGUAUGUUUUUUUUUUCCAUUUCCCUUCUCU